Molecule: ribosomal RNA, 466 nt
Filed under: uncultured bacterium
Lineage: Bacteria
Description: bacterial SSU rRNA
Rfam family: Bacterial small subunit ribosomal RNA
Source: RNAcentral
CAGGCCUAACACAUGCAAGUCGAACGAUGAAGGAGGAGCUUGCUCCUCUGGAUUAGUGGCGAACGGGUGAGUAACACGUGAGCAAUCUGCCCCUGACUCUGGGAUAAGCGUUGGAAACGACGUCUAAUACCGGAUAUGAGCCGAGCAGGCAUCUGCAUCGGUUGGAAAGAACUUCAGUCAGGGAUGAGCUCGCGGCCUAUCAGCUAGUUGGUGAGGUAAUGGCUCACCAAGGCGACGACGGGUAGCCGGCCUGAGAGGGUGACCGGCCACACUGGGACUGAGACACGGCCCAGACUCCUACGGGAGGCAGCAGUGGGGAAUAUUGCACAAUGGGCGCAAGCCUGAUGCAGCAACGCCGCGUGAGGGACGACGGCCUUCGGGUUGUAAACCUCUUUUAGCAGGGAAGAAGCGAGAGUGACGGUACCUGCAGAAAAAGCACCGGCUAACUACGUGCCAGCAGCCGCGG